GAUUAUGUAAAACUUUGGUUUCCAUCCUUAUAACUAUGAUACAAGAUUGUUGUAAAAUCACCAAAUAAAUUGUAGAGUUUUACAAAAAAAAUAUGUUGCUCUACUUUCACAUCUCUAAUCCUUGUCCAAACUCUUAGACAUGCAUCAUACAAAUCACCUUGCUCAUUUUUAGCAACCCUCAAUACCUAUCUAUGAGUCAUCUAAUUAUCUCACUUAUAUAUUUAAUAUCAAAAAAAUACUUAUAGUGCUUAAAAUUACUAAUCUAGUGAAUUAAUUUUGAAAUUUUGAAAUUAAUAGCA
This 299-nucleotide long non-coding RNA is filed under the name Physcomitrium patens. RNAcentral describes it as "long non-coding RNA (PPAT_LNC009371)". Lineage: Eukaryota; Viridiplantae; Streptophyta; Bryopsida; Funariales; Funariaceae. The record is from RNAcentral.